AUCCAUCUGACGAGUCCCAAAUAGGACUUGACGCACAUCCUGGAU
Non-coding RNA from Schistosoma rodhaini, 45 nucleotides. The record is from Rfam. Lineage: Eukaryota; Metazoa; Platyhelminthes; Trematoda; Strigeidida; Schistosomatidae.